This 169-nucleotide ribosomal RNA is filed under the name Apogon notatus (spotnape cardinalfish). RNAcentral describes it as "partial 12S rRNA". The record is from RNAcentral. Lineage: Eukaryota; Metazoa; Chordata; Actinopteri; Kurtiformes; Apogonidae.
CACCGCGGUUAUACGAGAGGCCCAAGCUGACAGUUACCGGCGUAAAGAGUGGUUAAUAGCCCUACAAUACUAAAGCCGAACAUCUCCAAAGUUGUACAACACAUUCGAAGACCUGAAGAUCAACCACGAAAGUGACUUUACAUUAUUUGAACCCACGAAAGCUAGGGAA